GUGUUCAGGUUUAAAUCGUUACUUUUAUAAAUCCGAUCAUCCAAGUUAAGCAAUGCCGGGUCUGGUCAGUACUUGGGCGGGUGACCACUUGGGAGCACCCUGUGUUGUAGACU
This is a non-coding RNA of Cordylochernes scorpioides, 113 nucleotides long. The record is from the annotation of a GenBank genome assembly. NCBI's taxonomy places the organism in Eukaryota, Metazoa, Arthropoda, Arachnida, Pseudoscorpiones, Chernetidae.